GCCCGUGUGAUGGAAUGGUAGACAUAACGGACUUAAAAUCCGUGGAGCGCAAUCUCUUGCCGGUUCGAGUCCGGCCACGGGUAC
This 84-nucleotide transfer RNA is filed under the name Candidatus Fokinia solitaria. RNAcentral's name for it is "tRNA-Leu". It matches the Rfam family "tRNA". Rfam says of the family: Transfer RNA (tRNA) molecules are approximately 80 nucleotides in length. The record is from RNAcentral. Lineage: Bacteria; Pseudomonadati; Pseudomonadota; Alphaproteobacteria; Rickettsiales; Candidatus Midichloriaceae.